Molecule: RNA transcript, 1066 nt
Organism: Anguilla anguilla (European eel)
Lineage: Eukaryota; Metazoa; Chordata; Actinopteri; Anguilliformes; Anguillidae
Gene: plex9.2
Gene name: three prime repair exonuclease 4
Exons: 4
Source: RefSeq, a predicted model, not a curated record
AGUGAUGUAUGAUCUAAUAAGUAAUGGACAUAUUAUCUUUCUUAGAACAGAGAGGCCUGAAUAGAUGCAGAAUAUUCAUACUUUAAAUUACUCUUUGAUAUUAUUUGUUCUUAGAGGGCAGAACUUUGGAACUCAUUUGCACUUUGUGACUCAUUUGUAGCUCGUUAUCUGGGGACAAUUGUGGAGCUGUGUCAGCUGGAAAGGAAACAGGUGGUAUCUCCAUAGAGACGUGUUGUGUUUUGGUUUAUCUACAGCUAGAUGAAGCAAAUGGAUCUCUACACUCUCUCCCCAGUCUCUGGCUCCCGCCCUGCAGGAUGCAGCUUGGUGUUCUUCGAUUUGGAGACUACAGGACUUGGGCGGUCGUGUGACAUCGUCCAGCUGUCGGCGGUGAGCGGUGGGCACAGCUGCAACCUGUACGUGCUGCCUCGCUGCAGGAUACAGAGCAGAGCGGCUGCCAUCACGGGCUUCAGCGUGCGGAGACGCCGCCUGUACCUGCACGGCCACGCCCUGCCCACCGUGCUGCUCCCACAGGCCCUCGCCGCCUUCCUGGCCUUCCUGCGCAUGCUGGGACGUCCGCUGCUGGUCGGGCACAACGUCCGCAGGUUCGACUGCCGCGUGCUGGCCCGGGCCCUGGACGAGUGGCACCUGAGGGAGGCGUUCCAGGAGGUCACCUCCGGCUUCCUGGACACCCUUCCCCUGGCCCGGGACCUCCUUAAGGGCAGGGGGCAGCAGAGCUUCAGGCAGGAGAGUCUGGUGAAGGCUGUUCUGGGCGUGUCUUACCCGGCACACGAUGCCCUGGAGGACGUCCAAGCGCUGCAGAGGCUGUACCACGCCCUCCUGCCCACUGCAGAGCAGGCCCUCCGACACACCUUCACUCUGGCCAGCAUGGCCGCCCCAGCCAAAAUUCAUUUUUGCGGCCUUCACUGGUGGAAAUGAAAUAAUAACUGCAGCCUGGAGACGAGGAUAUGUCAGACAGAGGGAGGCCGGAACCUGAAGGAGGAAAGAACUGGAGGAAUUCAAAGGCUCUCUUAAGUGGAAAGACUCGGGCUGACCAGGAAGGGAAGGU